Molecule: ribosomal RNA, 257 nt
Filed under: uncultured Glomus
Lineage: Eukaryota; Fungi; Glomeromycota; Glomeromycetes; Glomerales; Glomeraceae
Description: partial 18S ribosomal RNA
Rfam family: Eukaryotic small subunit ribosomal RNA
Source: RNAcentral
AAGCUCGUAGUUGAAUUUCGAGAUCAGUACGCUGGUCGUGCCUUCGGUAUGCACUGGUGUCACCGGUUUCUCCCUUCUGAAGAACCGUCAUGUCAUUAAGUUGGUGUGGCGGGGAAUCAGGACUGUUACUUUGAAAAAAUUAGAGUGUUUAAAGCAGGCUCGCGCUUGAAUACAUUAGCAUGGAAUAAUGAAAUAGGACGUUUGACCCUAUUUUGUUGGUUUCUAGGAUCGACGUAAUGAUUAAUAGGGAUAGUUGG